This 62-nucleotide transfer RNA is filed under the name Sinodasynus sp. Its description in RNAcentral is "tRNA-Asp". Lineage: Eukaryota; Metazoa; Arthropoda; Insecta; Hemiptera; Coreidae. The record is from RNAcentral.
AAGAAAUUAGUUUAACAAAAACAUUAACUUGUCAAGUUAAAGAUAUUUAAUAAUAUUUCUUA